This 102-nucleotide microRNA precursor is filed under the name Marmota monax (woodchuck). The record is from RNAcentral. Lineage: Eukaryota; Metazoa; Chordata; Mammalia; Rodentia; Sciuridae.
AGUGGGAUAGCUGGGUCAAAUGGUGGUUUCAUUCCCAGAUUUCCAAGGAAUUUCCAUACUGCUUCCAUAUUGGCUGCACCAAUUUGCAGUCCCACCAGCAAU